RNAcentral lists this ribosomal RNA (253 nucleotides) under uncultured bacterium. RNAcentral describes it as "partial 16S ribosomal RNA". It matches the Rfam family "Bacterial small subunit ribosomal RNA", at positions 524 to 776 of the family's 1533-position model. The record is from RNAcentral.
UACGUAGGGCGCAAGCGUUGUCCGGAAUUAUUGGGCGUAAAGAGCUCGUAGGUGGCGUGUCGCGUCUGCCGUGAAAGCCCAUGGCUUAACUGUGGGUCUGCGGUGGAUACGGGCAGGCUGGAGGCUGGUAGGGGCAAGCGGAAUUCCUGGUGUAGCGGUGAAAUGCGUAGAUAUCAGGAGGAACACCGGUGGCGAAGGCGCACAUCUGGCCCGAUACUGACGCUGAGGCGCGAAAGCUAGGGGAGCAAACGGG